UGGACGCGCGCCUAUAAAGUGGACGCGCAUGAGCCAAGUUCGGUCAUUUCUGGAGUUUGCUGGAACACAAACUGGAGCUCGAGAUCCUGUUUACUGUGGACUAGCUGUGUUUGACGCCCUGUUUUUGUUUCCAUUCAAAAAAAAAGCAUCAUCUAUUGCCUGGAUUUUUGCCUGCAAUUGCUCCUGCUACGUUCGCUUAAUCAACGCAAACAUGAAUAGAAAGACUGUGCCUGUCUCUUUAUCAACCUUAAGACGAAGGACACGUGUUGACGUUCAAAAAAGGCUUCAUCAGAUUCAGACAGACAUUACAGGAAUAGGGGCAGAUGACAGAGUUCUUUCUGAGAACACUGCCCAAUCCUCUUCAGCUGCACAUGCAAUGCCAGAGGUGCACGUUUUUACAGAGGAGGACAUGGAAUUGGAGGCAGAUUUAGAUGACGUGUAUUGGGAUGAAAGUGAUGGGGAUGGGACAUCAGGUUCGGAUUCUGAAAAUGAUGACCCAACAUCACUUUCUGAUAACAUUGCCAACUGGGCAGUGAGUUUUGGCAUUUCCAUGGUUGCCCUAACUGCACUGUUGAGUAUACUCCAUCUAACCCAUCCCAAUCUGCCAAAGGAUGGAAGGACCCUUCUGAAAACAAAAGUCCAAUAUUCUAUUCAGGAGCAGGCUGGGGGUAACUACCAUCAUUUGGCAUCCUUUCCUCCUUGAAGGCCACUCUAAGUAAAUAUGUCGAAACAUUGGCAGAGGGCAUGACAUUGGGGCUGCAGAUUAAUAUAGAUGGACUUCCUUUAUUUAAAAGUUCCACUGUACAGCUGUGGCCCAUCCUUGGCCUACUGGUUACCGUCCCCGUGAAGGAACCUGUUGUCAUUGGGGCGUACUGUGGACCAAAAAAACCUAGUUCGGCCACAGAGUUCUUAUCUGAUUUUGUCACAGAACUACAUGAGCUAGAGGCUGGGUUUUGCUUUGAAGAUAAGAAUCUUAAAAUUGAGCUUCACACAGUAAUCUGUGAUACCCCUGCACGGGCCUUUGUGAAAAAUACUAAAGCCCACAAUGCUUACCAUGGGUGCGAUAAGUGCCUACACCCAGGGCAAUACCACAACCGGCAUAUGUCGUUCCCUGGACCAGAGCACCCCCUUAGAACUGACAUCUCAUUUAACCUGAAGGUUGAUGAAUUACAUCACCACGAAGGGCCACAUCCAUUUGAACGCGUCAAGGUUGGCAUGGUAACGCAGUUUCCCUUAGAUUAUAAGCUUUUAGUGUGUUUGGGCAUUGUAAGGAAACUGCUCCUAACUUGGCUCCGAGGUCCGUUAACCGUAAGACUGCUGGCAUUAAUAGCAGACAGGAUGUCAGGCAAACUCCAGUCCAUGAGGCCCCACGUGCCAAUUGAGUUUGCCAGGAGACCACGGUCUCUUAGGGAGUUGGACCGUUAGAAGGCAACUGAAUUCUGACAGUUCUUACUGUACACUGGCUCUGUGGUACUGGCAGGAUUCCUGGACCGGAACAUGUACUGUAAUUUCAUGCUCCUGUCAACUGCUAUAUCCAUGUUGGUAAGUCCUGAACAUCUCAACCUUGCUGACUAUGCUGGACAAAUGCUAAAAUCUUUUGUCAACCAUUUUGGUGAGCUUUAUGGGACAGACCAGAUUGUGUACAAUGUCCACUGUCUGGUCCACCUGGCAGACGAGGUGAAAACGCAUGGCUGUCUGGACUCCUUUUCAGCGUUCCCAUAUGAGAAUCACCUUGGGAAAAUAAAAAAACUAAUUAGAAAACCUGAGUUCCCUCUACCUCAGCUCAUUCGGCGCCUUUUGGAGGUUACAGCUACCAAAUCAGAUGCUGAUGCAGACAUGUCACUGAAAAGGGAGCAUUUUGUGGGCCCAAUUGUUGUUGGCAUGGAAGUUCAUGCACAAUAUGAGGAAAUGCAAUGUGAAAGGUGGACCGUCAAAUUAUCAACAGGGGACAACAUGUUUCUGGUGGUGGAUAAAGUCUGCCUUAUCAAAAACAUUAUCAAAAAUGAUAAUGGUGUGUACGCUAUUUACACAGAAUUUUCCCGGCAGUCUCCAUUCUAUACCUACCCCUUCAACUCUGACAGAAUGAACAUAUUUUCUGUAAAUGAUCCAUCUGAUGAGCUGAAGUUGGUUGAGGUGUCAGCGCUGCCGUACAGGUAUGGUUUCGUGGCCAUAACCCUCCAUUAAUGAAACAAAAACAAAAAGUUUGAGUUCAAAUCAAAACAAUCAGGAGUUCAAAUCGGUUCAAUUAAUCAGUUUAAAUAAUCAGUUCAAGUUACAAACUCUAAUACUAUAGUUGACUACCGACUUCUAUGACUUCCAGUACUCUGGAUGAAGAAUAGCUGUAAGUAUUACACAAAAGUUGGUAUUAUUCCAUGUAUACACUACACCCAUAAUUUCAAACCCUACUUUACGAUUGAGCUGAAGUUCUGACUAUUAUGACCUGUACUUUUACAUUUCUUAUAGUUCUUACCACCUUGGGGCACCAUUCAGGAUGCCUUUUCAUCUGAUAAAAUUUAUAAUGAACGGGGACAUUGCGGUUGUCCCAAGUGGAUGGUAUGAUGAUGGGAUGGUUUUCUGGCCCAACUAUAAAAACACCGACAGAAUUAAAAGGGCCGCUUUAAAUGAGGAGCAGCAUGAGUCAAACUGGCCAAGAUUUGACGUUUCUGUUGUCCAAACUUGUGGUCCCUUGUAAGAGAGAGACCUGAUACAUCAUCAUCAAUAAUAAUGAUAUUCUGUUCAGCUCUACAGCUAAUUUGAAACUCAUGUUCAUUUUAACAUAUUCAAUUUUAGACCACUACAAAGACUCAUUAAAAAUAAUGCAGCAAUAUGGAAAGGGCUGCGACACCUCAGACCUGCAAUCUGAGGCAGAGAAUGAGGAGCUGCCAGAAAAAAGGAGCAGGAAUCCAGUCCAUCGUCUCGGGGACUCGGAUGAUAGCGAAGAAGACCCGAGAAAUAGUGACCUCGCAUCUCUGGGGUGGGCAAGCCAAUUGCACAGGCAGACUCCACCGUCUCGCCGAGUGCCAGCAAGAGUCGUGAGUACCUGUCAACUCGACUCCUCAACUGGAGAUAACUUUCUAGCACCUCACCAUGGGGAAGGACAUACUCAUAUGCCCUCACCAGCACCUGCAUUAAAUAUGCAGAGAGUUACACAAGGAACGGCAGUCCCUCCUCGACUCCCUCCACCCCCCGCACCACCUCUCAACAUGUGGCAGACACAGUAGCCUGGAUCCAGCCUGGCCUACAGGCCAACAUGGCGAGGGGGGAGAAUGGCUGACAUUUCCUGCUCUGCGGCUGAGGUCCACAUCCUUAGCCUGCUGGAAAAUAUUAAGCACACCCAAGACCAGCUGAUGGCGAAGGUAAACUUCUUAACAAGCAGGUUGACCUCGAACCCGGGGCCAGAAGUUGAAAUGCCGGCCAAUAUCCAGUUUCCACUGACAUGGGUGGAGUCACUUGAGGCAUUUUUAAAUGACCCAUCAAAUGGCCCAGCUCGACAAAGAGUGGUGAGGUUUCUUACUUAAUAUGAAUGGUGCCAAUAGGUUUAUUGAUUGUCCAUGAUUAUGCAAAUAUUCUAUUGAAUCAGCGCUGACAACCAGGCCUGUCCUGAACCACCUUUUCCCAGUGGUAAGAUUAUGUCAGUGAGCCACAGUCGGCCUGGUUUGACAUCGUGUGUAAAGGUAGCAUAGGUCCAUGAGCCAAGAGAACAGGUUCUGUUUUUUUACAUUUCUGGACGCUUUCAACAGGAACAAAAACAUUUGAAAUCCAACUUAAGCUUAAAAAUGUUUACCUGUUUGUUUAAAGAGAUGUCUUUGCCUUUUAGAUUUCUUCUUUGGCCACCAUUGGAGGCCACGAUGUGAAGCGGGUGACCUGGAACAUCCUGGGCAGGAUGUUCACAGAGGAGGUUUCACAUCAGAUACAUUGGAAGGGCGUCAACAACAAAAAGGCCUUUAGCAGGAUGGCAACAAAGACCUUGCUUUUCAGUGCUGUGAGAAAAAACAGGUGACAAGGUCAGCCACGGACGCUGAGGUCACCAAACACGCCAUCAGGUGGUUCAACCUGGCGGGGGAUCGGGCAACGAGACGAGUCCCGCCUCCACCGCCUCAGGAUGAAUAGAAA
Non-coding RNA from Nerophis lumbriciformis (worm pipefish), 4113 nucleotides. Lineage: Eukaryota; Metazoa; Chordata; Actinopteri; Syngnathiformes; Syngnathidae. The record is from RefSeq and is a predicted model, not a curated record.